Molecule: ribosomal RNA, 231 nt
Filed under: Triticum aestivum (bread wheat)
Lineage: Eukaryota; Viridiplantae; Streptophyta; Magnoliopsida; Poales; Poaceae
Description: partial small subunit ribosomal RNA
Source: RNAcentral
CAAGUGCCAGCCAAAUGUGUGGUGUUGGCGUCUGUUCCAUGGUUGUGCAAUCUCGCAAGGCCGAAAUCACCAAGCCUUGCAUUCAUUUCAGAAUCAAGGAGCACAUUGCUCGUCCUGACGUCUCGUUGGAUGACAACUUUCUCCCAGUCCCCGUGGAGGUAGAAGAGACCAUAUGCAAUGUCUUUUAUAAUGUUAAUUUUGUGAACGCAAUCUAGGACUUGCCUAUCUUGA